RNAcentral lists this ribosomal RNA (1555 nucleotides) under Lactiplantibacillus plantarum. Its description in RNAcentral is "Lactobacillus plantarum 16S ribosomal RNA". It matches the Rfam family "Bacterial small subunit ribosomal RNA". The record is from RNAcentral. Lineage: Bacteria; Bacillati; Bacillota; Bacilli; Lactobacillales; Lactobacillaceae.
AGAGUUUGAUCCUGGCUCAGGACGAACGCUGGCGGCGUGCCUAAUACAUGCAAGUCGAACGAACUCUGGUAUUGAUUGGUGCUUGCAUCAUGAUUUACAUUUGAGUGAGUGGCGAACUGGUGAGUAACACGUGGGAAACCUGCCCAGAAGCGGGGGAUAACACCUGGAAACAGAUGCUAAUACCGCAUAACAACUUGGACCGCAUGGUCCGAGUUUGAAAGAUGGCUUCGGCUAUCACUUUUGGAUGGUCCCGCGGCGUAUUAGCUAGAUGGUGAGGUAACGGCUCACCAUGGCAAUGAUACGUAGCCGACCUGAGAGGGUAAUCGGCCACAUUGGGACUGAGACACGGCCCAAACUCCUACGGGAGGCAGCAGUAGGGAAUCUUCCACAAUGGACGAAAGUCUGAUGGAGCAACGCCGCGUGAGUGAAGAAGGGUUUCGGCUCGUAAAACUCUGUUGUUAAAGAAGAACAUAUCUGAGAGUAACUGUUCAGGUAUUGACGGUAUUUAACCAGAAAGCCACGGCUAACUACGUGCCAGCAGCCGCGGUAAUACGUAGGUGGCAAGCGUUGUCCGGAUUUAUUGGGCGUAAAGCGAGCGCAGGCGGUUUUUUAAGUCUGAUGUGAAAGCCUUCGGCUCAACCGAAGAAGUGCAUCGGAAACUGGGGAACUUGAGUGCAGAAGAGGACAGUGGAACUCCAUGUGUAGCGGUGAAAUGCGUAGAUAUAUGGAAGAACACCAGUGGCGAAGGCGGCUGUCUGGUCUGUAACUGACGCUGAGGCUCGAAAGUAUGGGUAGCAAACAGGAUUAGAUACCCUGGUAGUCCAUACCGUAAACGAUGAAUGCUAAGUGUUGGAGGGUUUCCGCCCUUCAGUGCUGCAGCUAACGCAUUAAGCAUUCCGCCUGGGGAGUACGGCCGCAAGGCUGAAACUCAAAGGAAUUGACGGGGGCCCGCACAAGCGGUGGAGCAUGUGGUUUAAUUCGAAGCUACGCGAAGAACCUUACCAGGUCUUGACAUACUAUGCAAAUCUAAGAGAUUAGACGUUCCCUUCGGGGACAUGGAUACAGGUGGUGCAUGGUUGUCGUCAGCUCGUGUCGUGAGAUGUUGGGUUAAGUCCCGCAACGAGCGCAACCCUUAUUAUCAGUUGCCAGCAUUAAGUUGGGCACUCUGGUGAGACUGCCGGUGACAAACCGGAGGAAGGUGGGGAUGACGUCAAAUCAUCAUGCCCCUUAUGACCUGGGCUACACACGUGCUACAAUGGAUGGUACAACGAGUUGCGAACUCGCGAGAGUAAGCUAAUCUCUUAAAGCCAUUCUCAGUUCGGAUUGUAGGCUGCAACUCGCCUACAUGAAGUCGGAAUCGCUAGUAAUCGCGGAUCAGCAUGCCGCGGUGAAUACGUUCCCGGGCCUUGUACACACCGCCCGUCACACCAUGAGAGUUUGUAACACCCAAAGUCGGUGGGGUAACCUUUUAGGAACCAGCCGCCUAAGGUGGGACAGAUGAUUAGGGUGAAGUCGUAACAAGGUAGCCGUAGGAGAACCUGCGGCUGGAUCACCU